UACGUAGGGGGCAAGCGUUGUCCGGAUUUAUUGGGCGUAAAGAGCGUGUAGGCGGCUAUACAGGUCCGCUGUGAAAACUCGAGGCUCAACCUCGAGACGUCGGUGGAAACCGUAUGGCUAGAGUCCGGAAGAGGUGAGUGGAACUCCUAGUGUAGAGGUGGAAUUCGUAGAUAUUAGGAAGAACACCAGUGGCGAAGGCGGCUCACUGGUCCGGUACUGACGCUGAGGUGCGAAAGCGUGGGGAGCAAACAGG
Molecule: ribosomal RNA, 253 nt
Filed under: uncultured bacterium
Lineage: Bacteria
Description: partial 16S ribosomal RNA
Rfam family: Bacterial small subunit ribosomal RNA
Source: RNAcentral